RNAcentral lists this ribosomal RNA (254 nucleotides) under uncultured bacterium. RNAcentral's name for it is "partial 16S ribosomal RNA". It matches the Rfam family "Bacterial small subunit ribosomal RNA", at positions 524 to 776 of the family's 1533-position model. The record is from RNAcentral.
UACGAGGGGUGCAAGCGUUGCUCGGAAUUAUUGGGCGUAAAGGGUAGGUAGGUGGUCUUUUUUGUCAGGGGUGAAAGCCUUGGGCUUAACUCAAGAAGUGCCCCUGAAACGGGAAGACUAGAGUCUUGGAGAGGGUCGUGGAAUUCCCGGUGUAGAGGUGAAAUUCGUAGAUAUCGAGAGGAACACCGGUGGCGAAAGGCGGCUACCUGGACAGAAACUGACGCUGAGACGCGAAAGCGUGGGGAGCAAACAGG